Molecule: long non-coding RNA, 1192 nt
Organism: Fundulus heteroclitus (mummichog)
Lineage: Eukaryota; Metazoa; Chordata; Actinopteri; Cyprinodontiformes; Fundulidae
Exons: 2
Source: RefSeq, a predicted model, not a curated record
AGCAGAGUUAUAGUCAACCUGACUGCGUUUGCAUUGUUUCACAUUUACAGUACCCAGCAGUAGAAUUUGUACUUUAACUUUGCCACAUUGCAACCAUAAACCUCCAAGUAUUUCAUUGAGAUGUUAUCUGAAAGGCCAACAGAAAGCAGUACAACAUCGGGAAAUGAACAGGGGGGAAAAAAAAAGGAAACUUAUUUUCCAACAUUUUCUAGAAAGAGCGGAAAAAUGCGAGAUAGAUUUGAGUUGUUUUUGGGUUGAGUUACAGCUGUAAGUCCUUCGGGGUAGGUCUCAACCAUCUUUACACCUUCCCUGUCCUCUCUGAAGAUGAGCAUCCUCACAGCGUGAUGCUGCAACUACAAAGUUUUGUCGUAGGAACGUUGUCUUACAGGGGCGCCACCAUGUGAGGGGGGCCACAUUUUCAGAGGUGUAUUGAGUGAUUUAUCAUCCUCUCCUAGUGGCUAAAGAACCGCAUAAUCACCAACAGCCCUAGUACAGAACCAGGGGACGACUUUAGCUCUUUAAGGCGUAUGCUAAGAAAAUCUAAAGUUUUAGCUGCCAAACUCUGGUUGAGUUAAUGCAACGAGCCUUGAACAUUUACAGGUAGCCAGAACAUCAAAUGCCAAAUGACAACACUGAAUAUUACAUGUCUCCUCCUCAGCUGAGCUCUUUCUUUUGUGGCAGUAAAAGAUUUCAAAGAAAUAUGUGGAAAGCCAAAGUGAGCAGACGUUCUGCACAGAAAUGAAAGGAUUGGGUUUAUUCCUAGCAUCAACUACAAGGUUUCCCUCCAGCGUGUUAUAAGUGCUUUACUCGCCCUCUGCCACACUAAGCGUUCAUUUGAAAUGCCUCGAUGUUCGAGUGCGUUGUUAAAGUUCCCGCCUGGGAGAAAACCUCCUGGUGAAGCUAACACGCUAGCUGUUAUUAGCUCGACCAAUCCAGCUGCGUCCCUCCUUCGAGCUGCAUGACACAAUGCUCCCCGCGGUCACGUUCCGCUCCUUCCACACCUCCCGUAAGACAUCUACUACCAGGAUUACCUCGUCUUCUGGGAUAUACCCUGACCCAACUAGCAAAGGAUGCAACAUCAGUAUUACUGUUAAACAGCUUAACGUGACAUACUGCCAUGUAUUACCUGGUCAUCAUUUAGCUAACAUCUGCAUGUAGCAACGUUACUCAACCAAUACGGUUUGUUUGGGGG